This 731-nucleotide ribosomal RNA is filed under the name uncultured bacterium. Its description in RNAcentral is "bacterial SSU rRNA". It matches the Rfam family "Bacterial small subunit ribosomal RNA", at positions 771 to 1501 of the family's 1533-position model. The record is from RNAcentral.
AACAGGAUUAGAUACCCUGGUAGUCCACGCUGUAAACGAUGUCGACUUGGAGGUUGUGCCCUUGAGGCGUGGCUUCCGGAGCUAACGCGUUAAGUCGACCGCCUGGGGAGUACGGCCGCAAGGUUAAAACUCAAAUGAAUUGACGGGGGCCCGCACAAGCGGUGGAGCAUGUGGUUUAAUUCGAUGCAACGCGAAGAGCCUUACCUACUCUUGACAUCCAGAGAAUUUGCUAGAGGUAGCUUAGUGCCUUCGGGAACUCUGAGACAGGUGCUGCAUGGCUGUCGUCAGCUCGUGUUGUGAAAUGUUGGGUUAAGUCCCGCAACGAGCGCAACCCUUAUCCUUUGUUGCCAGCACGUAAUGGUGGGAACUCAAAGGAGGCUGCCGGUGAUAAACCGGAGGAAGGUGGGGAUGACGUCAAGUCAUCAUGGCCCUUACGAGUAGGGCUACACACGUGCUACAAUGGCAUAUACAAAGAGAAGCGAACUCGCGAGAGCAAGCGGACCUCAUAAAGUAUGUCGUAGUCCGGAUUGGAGUCUGCAACUCGACUCCAUGAAGUCGGAAUCGCUAGUAAUCGUAGAUCAGAAUGCUACGGUGAGUACGUUCCCGGGCCUUGUACACACCGCCCGUCACACCAUGGGAGUGGGUUGCAAAAGAAGUAGGUAGCUUAACCUUCGGGAGGGCGCUUACCACUUUGUGAUUCAUGACUGGGGUGAAGUCGUAACAAGGUAACC